RNAcentral lists this ribosomal RNA (229 nucleotides) under Vibrio cholerae. RNAcentral's name for it is "partial 16S ribosomal RNA". It matches the Rfam family "Bacterial small subunit ribosomal RNA", at positions 896 to 1124 of the family's 1533-position model. The record is from RNAcentral. Lineage: Bacteria; Pseudomonadati; Pseudomonadota; Gammaproteobacteria; Vibrionales; Vibrionaceae.
AAAACUCAAAUGAAUUGACGGGGGCCCGCACAAGCGGUGGAGCAUGUGGUUUAAUUCGAUGCAACGCGAAGAACCUUACCUACUCUUGACAUCCUCAGAAGAGACUGGAGACAGUCUUGUGCCUUCGGGAACUGAGAGACAGGUGCUGCAUGGCUGUCGUCAGCUCGUGUUGUGAAAUGUUGGGUUAAGUCCCGCAACGAGCGCAACCCUUAUCCUUGUUUGCCAGCAC